AUCAUGAGUUCACAUGUCCGCAUGAUUAAAGGUAUUUUCCGGUAGACGAUGGGGAUGCGUUCCAUUAGAUAGUAGGCGGGGUAACGGCCCACCUAGUCAACGAUGGAUAGGGGUUCUGAGAGGAAGGUCCCCCACAUUGGAACUGAGACACGGUCCAAACUCCUACGGGAGGCAGCAGUGAGGAAUAUUGGUCAAUGGGCGAUGGCCUGAACCAGCCAAGUAGCGUGAAGGAUGACUGCCCUAUGGGUUGUAAACUUCUUUUAUAAAGGAAUAAAGUCGGGUAUGCAUACCCGUUUGCAUGUACUUUAUGAAUAAGGAUCGGCUAACUCCGUGCCAGCAGCCGCGGUAAUACGGAGGAUCCGAGCGUUAUCCGGAUUUAUUGGGUUUAAAGGGAGCGUAGAUGGAUGUUUAAGUCAGUUGUGAAAGUUUGCGGCUCAACCGUAAAAUUGCAGUUGAUAUUGGAUGUCUUGAGUGCAGUUGAGGCAGGCGGAAUUCGUGGUGUAGCGGUGAAAUGCUUAGAUAUCACGAAGAACUCCGAUUG
Molecule: ribosomal RNA, 541 nt
Filed under: uncultured Bacteroidota bacterium
Lineage: Bacteria; Pseudomonadati; Bacteroidota
Description: bacterial SSU rRNA
Rfam family: Bacterial small subunit ribosomal RNA
Source: RNAcentral